Girardinichthys multiradiatus is the source of this 1175-nucleotide long non-coding RNA. RefSeq lists it as uncharacterized. The record is from RefSeq and is a predicted model, not a curated record. Lineage: Eukaryota; Metazoa; Chordata; Actinopteri; Cyprinodontiformes; Goodeidae. The transcript has 5 exons.
CCGGCUUGUGCGGGAGGGAUCGUCCCUCAACAGGUCCCUCCCCUGAGGAGUGCGCUGCUGCCGGAGACGGAGUGUGCACGAGCCUGUGGAGCUCCAGAGUCUGCAGAACGCCGUCUCUCUCUGCUUCAGCUGCCCGUCUGGUCAUGCCUGAUCGUCUCUCCGCUCUUCAGCGUCUUGGUGAAGGUAAACUCUGUGACGGAUCCGGCUCGACCUCGACCCGUCCCUCACGCCUUGCCUGGAGAGAACCACCGGUUCACAUCAGUAACCUGUUCAUCUUGUUCACCCACUGUAACAAGGACAGCAAUUUGAGGGUCAAGGGUCAGUUUCAGGCAAUGGGGUGGAGAGGAGGAUGACAUGCGGUAAACAUCAAUGGGCCGGGACUCGAACCAGUGACAGCCACGUUGAGGGCGGUAACUCCUGCACCACCAACACGCUCGAAGAAGGGAAAUCUUUAUGGGAAAAAGUGUUUCUGAGCUCCCAUUGCACCUGAAUGACCACUGUAGCUUCCAAACAAUGUUUACAGAAAACAGAAAUAUCAGUUUUUAUUUUAAAGUCUUUAACAUUUAUUGUGUUUUACCGACACUGUGGCCGCGAACGUUCAGGUAACAUAACACGUCUAGGUAGGAAAAGAAAUAAAGAAAAGGUGAAGAUGAAUGAAAUACUUGAAAAGAGACUCUAAUUGUUUAGUGAUUUUACACCAAAGGAAAGAAUACCAUUUUAAACUGAGUGGCCCAACUUUAAAACUGUAUUUUUUAAUCACAAACCUUGACAGCUACCUGGCAGAAACUCCAUAGCAUGUUAUUUUACACAAUUUGUUUAACACAUGUCCAACUAUUCAUGCAGUCAAGGACUGAAAAAUCUGAUACUUUUUUGCUCUUAAAUGCAUCAAAACUAGAAACUCCCACUUCUGUCGGUCUAUAAAUGCAUCAACAAGCAGCCUGUUCUUUGAAGCACUUUGUUCUGAGUUUGGUAUGAAUCAAAUAAAAGUUGGGGACAUUUUGCUUUUGAUGCAUGAAGGGGGUGACUGUGUAAUCCCUCCAUGUUUUGUUGAAUUCAAAACUACUACUUUGAUCGAGGAACCUGCACCCAGAAGCAUUAUUUAAAGUUUUGUUUUUUUUUAUGGUCAGUGCUUGUUACAUUUAAUUACUGAAUUAAAAACCAAAUUUACACUUGAA